UAAGGAAUAUUGGUCAAUGGACGCAAGUCUGAACCAGCCAUGCCGCGUGGAGGAUGAAGGUCCUCUGGAUUGUAAACUUCUUUUAUCUGGGAAGAAACCCAUUUUUUCUAAAGUGGUUGACGGUACCAGAAGAAUAAGCACCGGCUAACUCCGUGCCAGCAGCCGCGGUAAUACGGAGGGUGCAAGCGUUAUCCGGAUUCACUGGGUUUAAAGGGUGCGUAGGUGGAGAGGUAAGUCAGUGGUGAAAUCUCCGGGCUUAACCCGGAAACUGCCAUUGAUACUAUCUUUCUUGAAUACCGUGGAGGUGAGCGGAAUAUGUCAUGUAGCGGUGAAAUGCUUAGAUAUGACAUAGAACACCAAUUGCGAAGGCAGCUCACUACACGAAUAUUGACACUGAGGCACGAAAGCGUGGGGAUCAAACAG
Molecule: ribosomal RNA, 423 nt
Filed under: uncultured bacterium
Lineage: Bacteria
Description: bacterial SSU rRNA
Rfam family: Bacterial small subunit ribosomal RNA
Source: RNAcentral